AUUAUUAUUAUUCUGUUUUUAUUAUUUUUAAAUUCUUUUUUUAAAAAAAAAAA
Molecule: non-coding RNA, 53 nt
Filed under: Lotharella globosa
Lineage: Eukaryota; Cercozoa; Chlorarachniophyceae
Source: RNAcentral